UCCAUACUUGACAAUCUUCUUCUUCUUCUGGCCUUUAGGCUGGGGGUAUUUCUGAGGGGACAGGAGAAGCAGCUAUUCAAACCACUGAGUAAAACAUUUUUAGAACCGCCACUGCACAAAGACGUAAUGCAUUCCGGUCUCCAAGGCACUUAACACGGUGGGAGAGAAGUUCUGGAUAAUAAAAAGAAAACAAUAACCUGGAAGUUUAUAGUGGAGACAGCUGGAUGACAUAGAGAAAAUAAUUUUUUAUGGAGCUGACAUCAGCUCACUGUUCUUCAAGGACAAAGAAAACACCAACUGAAUUCAAAACAGAAGAUAUGUAUUAGUGAAUGAAGAUAAACUUUCCAAACAUCUGUGAAAAAUCUGCAGAUUACACAGUUUAUCUGGACAAAGAUGGGAAGGUCCAAUCUUCAAUUUUUGGAAUUGGUCAUCAACACAAAUCUAUAUUCAAUUAUGUAUCUGGUUGUUUGUGUAUUUUUGGAUAGUAUUGUAGUAUUUUUCCACAGUACUACCCAGUCACAAUCCAAUGGUUGACCUUCACC
Molecule: long non-coding RNA, 542 nt
Organism: Hypomesus transpacificus
Lineage: Eukaryota; Metazoa; Chordata; Actinopteri; Osmeriformes; Osmeridae
Exons: 3
Source: RefSeq, a predicted model, not a curated record